RNAcentral lists this ribosomal RNA (253 nucleotides) under uncultured bacterium. RNAcentral describes it as "partial 16S ribosomal RNA". It matches the Rfam family "Bacterial small subunit ribosomal RNA", at positions 524 to 776 of the family's 1533-position model. The record is from RNAcentral.
UACAGAGGGUGCAAGCGUUAAUCGGAUUUACUGGGCGUAAAGCGUGUGUAGGUGGUUAGAAAAGUCGAUUGUGAAAUCCCUGGGCUCAACCCGGGAACUGCUUUCGGGACUGUCUGACUAGAAUUCGGUAGAGGGAGGCGGAACUCCAGGUGUAGCGGUGAAAUGCGUAGAUAUCUGGAAGAACACCAAUGGCGAAGGCAACCUCCUGGGCCUGAAUUGACACUGAGACGCGAAAGCGUGGGGAUCAAACAGG